RNAcentral lists this small RNA (28 nucleotides) under Bombyx mori (domestic silkworm). Its description in RNAcentral is "ovarian small RNA-36724". The record is from RNAcentral. Lineage: Eukaryota; Metazoa; Arthropoda; Insecta; Lepidoptera; Bombycidae.
UUAGGAAAAAAAUGUACGGAGUUUUGGC